AUUGAACGCUGGCGGCAGGCCUAACACAUGCAAGUCGAACGGUAACAGGAAGAAGCUUGCUUCUUUGCUGACGAGUGGCGGACGGGUGAGUAAUGUCUGGGAAACUGCCUGAUGGAGGGGGAUAACUACUGGAAACGGUAGCUAAUACCGCAUAACGUCGCAAGACCAAAGAGGGGGACCUUCGGGCCUCUUGCCAUCGGAUGUGCCCAGAUGGGAUUAGCUAGUUGGUGGGGUAACGGCUCACCAAGGCGACGAUCCCUAGCUGGUCUGAGAGGAUGACCAGCCACACUGGAACUGAGACACGGUCCAGACUCCUACGGGAGGCAGCAGUGGGGAAUAUUGCACAAUGGGCGCAAGCCUGAUGCAGCCAUGCCGCGUGUAUGAAGAAGGCCUUCGGGUUGUAAAGUACUUUCAGCGGGGAGGAAGGGAGUAAAGUUAAUACCUUUGCUCAUUGACGUUACCCGCAGAAGAAGCACCGGCUAACUCCGUGCCAGCCGCCGCCGUAA
RNAcentral lists this ribosomal RNA (506 nucleotides) under uncultured bacterium. Its description in RNAcentral is "partial 16S ribosomal RNA". It matches the Rfam family "Bacterial small subunit ribosomal RNA", at positions 30 to 523 of the family's 1533-position model. The record is from RNAcentral.